Molecule: ribosomal RNA, 274 nt
Filed under: uncultured bacterium
Lineage: Bacteria
Description: partial 16S ribosomal RNA
Rfam family: Bacterial small subunit ribosomal RNA
Source: RNAcentral
AUACGAAGGGGGCAAGCGUUGUUCGGAAUAACUGGGCGUAAAGCGCACGUAGGCGGAAUGUUAAGUUAGAGGUGAAAUCCCAGGGCUCAACCCUGGAACGGCCUUUAAUACUGGCAAUCUAGAGACCGAGAGAGGUGAGUGGGAUUCCGAGUGUAGAGGUGAAAUUCGUAGAUAUUCGGAGGAACACCAGUGGCGAAGGCGGCUCACUGGCUCGGUACUGACGCUGAGGUGCGAGAGCGUGGGGAGCAAACAGGAUUAGAAACCCCAGUAGUCC